UUGUGGCCACAUCACGUUGAAACAUCGAUUCCCGUAUGAUCACCGAAGUUAAGCAACGUCGAGCCUGGCCAAUACCUAGAUUAGUGACCGCUUGGGAAUACCAAGUGCUGUAAG
Acanthosepion pharaonis is the source of this 114-nucleotide non-coding RNA. NCBI's taxonomy places the organism in Eukaryota, Metazoa, Mollusca, Cephalopoda, Sepiida, Sepiidae. The record is from the annotation of a GenBank genome assembly.